UAUCAGCUCUGCUCUAAGUUUCAUUUCCUUUGACACUCCAUCUGUUAGUACGAAGAUGCAGACACAUCCAAUGAUUAGGAUGCAUAUUGAUGCUGAGAUCAAUAUUACAAGAGUCUUGAUAGCCCUCUCAUCUACCUUUCCCAUUAUAUAUUUCCUUGGAAUGAUGAUAACUCCUACCAUUGGAAGUCUCUUUAACUGCAGGUAAAAUGAGUCAAUAUAAUAGAGCUGAUUCCCAAGUUUAGCAUUCUCUAUGUGCACUUCUUGACUUGGGGUAAGCCUCUUUCCAUAAUCCUUCUGUAAGCACUCAGCCCCAGAUCGUAUAACGGGGUCUUCAG
RNAcentral lists this unclassified non-coding RNA (335 nucleotides) under Hevea brasiliensis (rubber tree). Lineage: Eukaryota; Viridiplantae; Streptophyta; Magnoliopsida; Malpighiales; Euphorbiaceae. The record is from RNAcentral.